RNAcentral lists this long non-coding RNA (584 nucleotides) under Fukomys damarensis (Damara mole-rat). RNAcentral describes it as "lncRNA (ENSFDAG00000025623.1)". Lineage: Eukaryota; Metazoa; Chordata; Mammalia; Rodentia; Bathyergidae. The record is from RNAcentral.
GGGGAGGGUAUGAUGAUGGGGAGGGUAUGCCAGGCUGUCUCUGAACAGAGGAGAGAAAGCAAUGUGGCUGAGACAGGGAACAUUCUUCCAGGGUUGGGAUGGGUCUUAUAAGAGCUGGGGUAGGAUGUAGGGAUGUAGUGGCUAGGGAUUGGGGGAGCUUGUGACAUCACUAGAGGGGCUUGUGACAUCACUAGUUAGGGCCAUUAAGGUGAGGGAAAUCUAACAUUCCAGCAUUUGUUUUAUGGCUGUUGGGCAAAGGUCUCUUCUUCUGGAGCUGCUUCAAGCUGACAAAAGGGCGAAGCACUCCUGUAAGAAAUGCAUGACAAUCAAAAAGACUCCAUUUUAUCCAAAGCUGCAGAAUGGGAAGAAAUGUAGACUGAUGAGUGAACCAAAAUCUCAAGUUACCCUGAAGCUGUUAGCAUGUUUAUUUACUCUGGCCUCCAGUUUUCAUCCCACACGUGUGCUGCUGAGUCAGCCUUCUGAGUCAACUUCAGCUCAGAAGAUUAAUGAACAUUUUUGGAGCCAACAGUAUGUUAUCAAAAUAAAGAAAUUAAUACAGAUUUCCUUUUGUGUGGAUAUUUUUA